GCCCGGUGUGGUAGUGCACGUCCGUAAUCCCAGCGGCUCUGGAGGCUGAGGCAGGAGGAUUAUGAGUUUAAAGCCAGCCUCAGCACUUUAGCAAGGCUCUUAGUAACUUUUUGAGAUCCUGUCUCUA
RNAcentral lists this small RNA (127 nucleotides) under Marmota monax (woodchuck). Lineage: Eukaryota; Metazoa; Chordata; Mammalia; Rodentia; Sciuridae. The record is from RNAcentral.